RNAcentral lists this long non-coding RNA (870 nucleotides) under Glycine max (soybean). RNAcentral describes it as "long non-coding RNA (GMAX_LNC002867)". The record is from RNAcentral. Lineage: Eukaryota; Viridiplantae; Streptophyta; Magnoliopsida; Fabales; Fabaceae.
UGCAUACCAAGCUUUUAUUCCAUGUUGGACCUUUAUAAGAUUCUGGCAAAAAGGUGCCGCCGUUGCUAAUUGCUAUAGAGUGAAAAUCUUACUCGUGGUUUUUGGGUCAACGCAAUCUUAUGGGUAAACAUUAAGAAAGCACAAACAUAUAAUUUUGAUAUAAUCAGUUACGGAUUGGCCAAUUCGUAUGAGGUUUAUGGAUUUUCUAAUCCGUAUCAAUUUUACAUAAGAGCAAAACAGGAUAAUCGUGCAAUUGCUGGGUGUAGCAGCAAUUUUGCUGGGGCACUUAGCAACACCCAAAGAAGAGGUGCAUUUCAAUGUCAUUUCUUUGUGAUACAUAUCAUGUUGGUACCUCCCAACAGCCCAAAUACUCUACCAAUGAUGGAUGGACAUGGACUUUUUGUUUGGACCACAUUAUUUGUACGAGCAAUAUUAUAGGUAUUUACAUUCUUUUUUUUAUUUUAUUUGCACCUCCUAUAUUGUAUUUUAGAAAGUCCAUUCCAGAAUCUGAUUUGCAUCCUGGAAUGGACUUUUGGGAAUAAGCAAAUUCUAGCGUGGACAAGCUAUUAGGUCAUGCACUGAUGGAGAAUGUUAUUAAAUUUGGUUUGUAUUUUGUGUUAUAUGAUCCACGUGCAUAUGGCUUUUUUUAGUCGUUGGAUAUAUUAUAUUUCAAUAUGAACGGUGUAGAUUUUUUAUGGGUUUGUCGAACACCUUUUAAUGUGAUCUGAUAAUAUAAAAUCAUAAGGUGGAGCAUUUUACAUUUGUGUCCAUUGUGAAUAGACUUUGCUCUCCCUAUACCCUGUAGCUAUUGGGUUGGGUCAGUUGGCCCAUUUAGAACAGCCUACCAGAUUGGUAAUUUUGUUGUGCUGG